This 468-nucleotide ribosomal RNA is filed under the name uncultured bacterium. RNAcentral's name for it is "partial 16S ribosomal RNA". It matches the Rfam family "Bacterial small subunit ribosomal RNA", at positions 28 to 507 of the family's 1533-position model. The record is from RNAcentral.
GACGAACGCUGGCGGCGUGCUUAACACAUGCAAGUCGAACGGAAAGGCCCUGCUUUUGUGGGGUGCUCGAGUGGCGAACGGGUGAGUAACACGUGAGUAACCUGCCCUUGACUUUGGGAUAACUUCAGGGAACUGGGGCUAAUACCGGAUAGGAGCUCCUGCUGCAUGGUGGGGGUUGGAAAGUUUCGGCGGUUGGGGAUGGACUCGCGGCUUAUCAGCUUGUUGGUGGGGUAGUGGCUUACCAAGGCUUUGACGGGUAGCCGGCCUGAGAGGGUGACCGGCCACAGUGGGACUGAGAUACGGCCCAGACUCCUACGGGAGGCAGCAGUGGGGAAUAUUGCACAAUGGGCGGAAGCCUGAUGCAGCAACGCCGCGUGCGGGAUGACGGCCUUCGGGUUGUAAACCGCUUUCGCCUGUGACGAAGCGUGAGUGACGGUAAUGUGUAAAGAAGCACCGGCUAACUACGUG